RNAcentral lists this long non-coding RNA (199 nucleotides) under Lathyrus oleraceus (garden pea). RNAcentral's name for it is "Pisum sativum (pea) long non-coding RNA (PSAT_LNC035570)". The record is from RNAcentral. Lineage: Eukaryota; Viridiplantae; Streptophyta; Magnoliopsida; Fabales; Fabaceae.
AAACAGCACACGUAUAAGAACAGAGAUGGAUUCCACAGAUAAAAUGAUAAGAUUAUGUAGUAUCUGUCGUCAACCAGGACACAACAAAAACAACUGUCCCAAUCAAGGAGCAUCAUCUAGAUCUUAAGCUUAUUGUAACAUGAUAUCUAGAUCUUAAGCUAUUUGUAACAUUGUAUCUAGAUCUUAUGCUUUUUGUAAC